GACGAACGCUGGCGGCGUGCUUAACACAUGCAAGUCGAACGGAAAGGCCCUGCUUUUGUGGGGUGCUCGAGUGGCGAACGGGUGAGUAACACGUGAGUAACCUGCCCUUGUCUUUGGGAUAACUUCAGGAAACUGGGGCUAAUACCGGAUAGGAGCUCCUGCUGCAUGGUGGGGGUUGGAAAGUUUCGGCGGUUGGGGAUGGACUCGCGGCUUAUCAGCUUGUUGGUGGGGUAGUGGCUUACGAGGGCUUUGACGGGUAGCCGGCCUGAGAGAUGGACCGGCCACAUUGGGACUGAGAGACGGCCCAGACGCCUACGGGAGGCAGCAGUGGGGAACAUGGCACAAUGGGCGGAAGCCUGAUGCAGCAGCGUCGCGUGCGGGAUGACGUCCUUCGGGUUGUAAACCGCUUUCGCCUGUGACGAAGCGUGAGUGACGGUAAUGGGUAAAGAAGCACCGGCUAACUACGUG
Molecule: ribosomal RNA, 468 nt
Filed under: uncultured bacterium
Lineage: Bacteria
Description: partial 16S ribosomal RNA
Rfam family: Bacterial small subunit ribosomal RNA
Source: RNAcentral